RNAcentral lists this transfer RNA (87 nucleotides) under Flavobacteriales bacterium. Its description in RNAcentral is "tRNA-Ser". It matches the Rfam family "tRNA". Rfam says of the family: Transfer RNA (tRNA) molecules are approximately 80 nucleotides in length. The record is from RNAcentral. Lineage: Bacteria; Pseudomonadati; Bacteroidota; Flavobacteriia; Flavobacteriales.
AGAAGAGUGGCCGAGUGGCUUAAGGCGUACGCUUGGAAAGCGUAUGUACGUUAACGCGUACCAGGGGUUCGAAUCCCUUCUCUUCUG